CCCCGGCGCCACAAGUGGUAAUCGCUUUUAUUGGGCCUAAAGCGUCCGUAGCUGAUAAGACUAGUCUUUUGUUAAAUCCUUGUGCUUAACAUGAGGACCGCAAGAGAUACUAUCUUGUUAGGGAUCGGGAGGAGACAGAGGUAUUCCUUGGGUAGCGGUAAAAUGCGAUAAUCCUUGGAAGACCACCAAUGGCGAAGGCAUCUGUCUAGAACGAAUCCGACAGUCAUGGACGAAAGCUAAGGGAGCAAAAGGG
This 253-nucleotide ribosomal RNA is filed under the name uncultured archaeon. RNAcentral's name for it is "partial 16S ribosomal RNA". It matches the Rfam family "Archaeal small subunit ribosomal RNA", at positions 474 to 727 of the family's 1478-position model. The record is from RNAcentral.